GAUGAACGCUGGCGGCGUGCCUAAUACAUGCAAGUCGAGCGAACAGACGAGGAGCUUGCUCCUCUGACGUUAGCGGCGGACGGGUGAGUAACACGUGGAUAACCUACCUAUAAGACUUGGAUAACUUCGGGAAACCGGAGCUAAUACCGGAUAAUAUAUUGAACCGCAUGGUUCAAUAGUGAAAGACGGUUUUGCUGUCACUUAUAGAUGGAUCCGCGCCGCAUUAGCUAGUUGGUAAGGUAACGGCUUACCAAGGCAACGAUGCGUAGCCGACCUGAGAGGGUGAUCGGCCACACUGGAACUGGUACACGGUCCAAACGCCUACGGGAGGCAGCAGUAGGGAAUCUGCCGCAAAGGGCGAAAGCAUGACGGAGCAACGCCGCGUGAGUGAUGAAGGUCUUCGGAUCGUAAAACUCUGUUAUUAGGGAAGAACAAAUGUGUAAGUAACUAUGCACGUCUUGACGGUACCUAAGCAGAAAGCCACGGCUAACUACGUG
RNAcentral lists this ribosomal RNA (497 nucleotides) under uncultured bacterium. Its description in RNAcentral is "partial 16S ribosomal RNA". It matches the Rfam family "Bacterial small subunit ribosomal RNA", at positions 28 to 507 of the family's 1533-position model. The record is from RNAcentral.